GAUGAACGCUGGCGGCGUGCCUAAUACAUGCAAGUCGAGCGAACAGACGAGGAGCUUGCUCCUCUGACGUUAGCGGCGGACGGGUGAGUAACACGUGGAUAACCUACCUAUAAGACUGGGAUAACUUCGGGAAACCGGAGCUAAUACCGGAUAAUAUAUUGAACCGCAUGGUUCAAUAGUGAAAGACGGUUUUGCUGUCACUUAUAGAUGGAUCCGCGCCGCAUUAGCUAGUUGGUAAGGUAACGGCUUACCAAGGCAACGAUGCGUAGCCGACCUGAGAGGGUGAUCGGCCACACGGGAACUGAGACACGGUCCAGACUCCUACGGGAGGCAGCAGUAGGGAAUCUUCCGCAAUGGGCGAAAGCCUGACGGAGCAACGCCGCGUGAGUGAUGAAGGUCUUCGGAUCGUAAAACUCUGUUAUUAGGGAAGAACAAAUGUGUAAGUAACUAUGCACGUCUUGACGGUACCUAAGCAGAAAGCCACGGCUAACUACGU
This 496-nucleotide ribosomal RNA is filed under the name uncultured bacterium. RNAcentral's name for it is "partial 16S ribosomal RNA". It matches the Rfam family "Bacterial small subunit ribosomal RNA", at positions 28 to 506 of the family's 1533-position model. The record is from RNAcentral.